CCUACGGGAGGCUGCAGUGAGGAAUAUUGGUCAAUGGCCGGAAGGCUGAACCAGCCAAGUCGCGUGAGGGACGACUGCCCUAUGGGUUGUAAACCUCUUUUAUAAGGGAAGAAUAAAUGCUACGUGUAGCAUGAUGCCUGUACCUUAUGAAUAAGCAUCGGCUAACUCCGUGCCAGCAGCCGCGUUAAUACGGAGGAUGCGAGCGUUAUCCGGAUUUAUUGGGUUUAACGGGUUCGUAGGCGGUUUUUUAAGUUAGUGGUUAACCGUCGGGGCUUCACCUUGAUUUGCCAUUAAUACUGUAAGACGCGAGUUCAGACGAGGUAGGCGGAAUAAGUUAAGUAGCGGUGAAAUGCUUAGAUAUAACUUAGAACUCCGAUAGCGAAGGCAGCUUACCAGACUGCGACUGACGCUGAAGCACGAGAGCGUGGGUAGCGAACAGGAUUAGAUACCCCUGUAGUC
Molecule: ribosomal RNA, 459 nt
Filed under: uncultured bacterium
Lineage: Bacteria
Description: partial 16S ribosomal RNA
Rfam family: Bacterial small subunit ribosomal RNA
Source: RNAcentral